Oncorhynchus nerka (sockeye salmon) is the source of this 4488-nucleotide long non-coding RNA. RefSeq lists it as uncharacterized. The transcript is spliced from 2 exons. The record is from RefSeq and is a predicted model, not a curated record. Lineage: Eukaryota; Metazoa; Chordata; Actinopteri; Salmoniformes; Salmonidae.
ACGGUAUAUUGGUCAAGAAAUACACAUUACAUGUUUUACUUACGUAAUUAUCUUGCAUUGCGAUGAUUUAUCUACCAAAAACCAACUCGACACAGAUAGUGUUUGCCACCCUAGACUAAGGUAUUGUAUUGCUAUAAAUAAAUUAUAGCGCAAGCUAGGAAGCAACCGACCUUGUGGCUUUGUUUACAGUCACCUGGCAGGGGGUGCACCCACAGAAUUAGUUAGUAGAAUAUGAGCUCUAUGGGUGCACCUCUGACGUCAAACACGUUUGAGGUAGGUAUGACAACUAGCUAAAUUUGUUCCAAGCAGCUGGUUGCAAGCAUUUGGAAGACAGCACCGCGAACAGCCAUGCAAUUUCAAUCAGCUUUUGACUGCAUAGGACCUGAGCCCUAGGACUAUGCCUCAGGACUACCUGGCAUGAUGACUCCUUGCUGUCCCUAGUCCACCUGGCCGUGCUGCUGCUCCAGUUUCAACUGUUCUGCCUGCGGCUAUGGAACCUUGACCUGUUCACCGGACCUGCUACAUGUCCCAGACCUGCUGUUUUCAACUCUCUAGAGACAGCAGGAGCGGUAGAUACUCUUAAUGAUCGGCUAUGAAAAGCCAACUGACAUUUACUCCUGAGGUGCUGACUUGUUGCACCCUCGACAACUACUGUGAUUAUUAUUAUUUGACCAUGCUGGUCAUUUAUGAACAUUUGAACAUCUUGGCCAUGUUCUGUUAUAAUCUCCACCCGGCACAGCCAGAAGAGGACUGGCCACCCCUCAUAGCCUGGUUCCUCUCUAGGUUUCUUCCUAGGUUUUGGCCUUUCUAGGGAGAUUUUCCUAGCCACCGUGCUUCUACACCUGCAUUGCUUGCUGUUUGGGGUUUUAGGCUGGGUUUCUGUACAGCACUUUGAGACAUCAGCUGAUGUACGAAAGGCUUUAUAAAUACAUUUGAUUUGAUUUAUUUUAUCCCUCUUUGAAUCCUUCUCUCCCUACUCUCUACCUCUCUCUCUCCGCCCACCCUGUCUUUUUUUAUUUGGGUUGAAACGGCUGGACACUGAGAGCCUAGACUCUGUUAAUGAUAUCUGAUGUACCCUUGAUCCGGAGGGAGAUUAAUUAAAGGAGCUGUGCUGACGAGCCCUCCUCCCCUGCCAAGGCAGAUGCAGUGGUGGCCAUUACAUCAGCGUGCCUCCUUUGUGAUUGAGCUUCUAGGAGCUGUGCUGAGCUCAGCAUAUUUCGCUAGGGCUUCAUUUAACUCUGCCAAAUGGCCCCCUUUUAAUUUUUCAAAUGGAAGAGUGGCCUGAGUCACUCUGUGACGGGUCCAAGCCACGCCACCAGUCCUCACACGCAGGGAAGGAAGAGGAGGAGGGCGGAGGUGUAGCGUUAUGGAUUGGGAAGACGAAAGCAAGGUUGCUCACCCAGACCAAGUCUCGGAGAAGAAAUACGUCAAGGCAUUGUCAACUGUGCUUAGCUAUCUCAAUCAAUGACACAACAGUGUGUGUUAUCACAAAUCCAGAAAGAUUGUCCCUAAAAAUGUGCUUGAAUAUGUUUUUGAAGCCCUUGUGGGGUUCCGGCCCUUUGACCCUCAUCAAUAAGAUCAUUGUCAUCACAGACAAAGUCAAGCAUUUUCAUGAUUUGGAGUUGUAGUUGGACCUCAGAGGUGCAUCAUAGUCCUCCCAGCGACUCACUGGAGCGAGAGAUGAUGACAUCAGCGUCAGCAGUGAACCUGUACGUGCCUCCAGAUAUGGAUUGAGUACCCAGAGUGACUAAAUGUGUUUACAUAUGCCCCCAUCUCACACCACUGUUGCUUAAAAUAGGCCAGCGAUGUGUUUAGCCUGAGAAUCAGCUGGACUAAUGGGCCGGUCUGCCAAGUAUGCAUUAAGCUGGCAGGUACCACGGAGCGGGUCAAGGGUCAUCAACAGCACACGGAAUGAACAGAAAGCCCCCCUCAAUAGGUUUUAUGAGCAUGUAUACAUAUUCAUUGACUAUUACAUUUUCCACAAAAUGCCUGGACACGCAGCAGCAGGUGGUGGAGGAGUUGAGACUCAUACAGAAUCUUGCCAUCCAUUUCCUUGCGUUUUCUCAAAGAGUUUACACAGCAUUUUGGCAGUUAAUGGCUGAAAAGGCUUAUUCUGUCUCAAACCAGGAAGAGCACAUUGUGGAGCACUUACUAAUAUCAGAGCCAGGUAGAUUGCCUCUUCACUCAGCCUUUGGAUCUAACAAUAGCUAGCCAAUAAGUGGCGAACCUCAUGCUGUGUCGCACAUUUAUACAGCUCAAUCCCCUUGACUAGGGAAAUGCAUGGAGGUCAUGCAGCAAUGAUGGAAGUUGACUGUUUGAAUGAAGACACCAGGGUUCAAAUGUCCAGCCUCCUAGAUAUAUAGUCCCUCUCCUCUCUCAGCGCUCCUCAUUCGUUCUCAUGUCUCUUUUUCCAUGAGACAAAUGCUUCCUUGUUAGAAAAAAUUGCCUCCUUAUCUGAUGUAUUCUGGGUUCCCCUAAAACAUCACAGAUGUAGAUAAUUUCUAAACAUUUUCAAUUUCACAAUUUCACAAGCCCCAUUAUACAUUUCGUGCUGGGAAUCAUGGAAUCAAGAAAAUGUCCAUGCACUAUGUGGAUUUCGGUACAGAUUGUCUUAGUACGGGGGUCAGGAACCUGAUGGUCCUGAUGGUCCAGAGCCACAUCUGUCCCUUUGUGUCUCAGUGGUGAUCUAUAAUUAGCCAUUUGAUCUAAUCAAUACAUUGUACAAUGCCUGAUUUAGAUUCAUGUAUGUAGAUAAACAGCCAUGUUGGCUCUCCCCUGAAUCACCUGGCCUUUGAGGUUCUGACUGACAGCUGUGAUGGCUCUUAUGUGUGUGGUGUCGGGUUUUGUGGGACAUCAUGUGUUUUUUGAUGUGCUAUCAUUCCAUGCUGCUCUGAUUCUGCUCUGACAGGUGUGACUAGCAGGCUCUAGCCUCUGGGCCUUCAGUGUCCAUCCAGCCAUUAGAGAGAGGAGGAGAGGGUAGUCCCCGCCUCCUCCCCAUUUUGCCUGUCAGCCAUGUUGUGAGCGUGCGGUCUAAUCAGAAGUCAACAGGUGGUUUCGUAAGGGGUCCAUUGAGGGAGAUUCCACGACAGGACUCCAUUACAUCAAGGGCAGGAUGAUCUAGGGAGGUAUUUUGAUGUGUCAGAGUGAAUUACUCCAAACAAGUGUUUCAAACCCUCAGGUGCAUUUCAUGUGUGACAGCGAGGAUGUUUAUCACAACUGUAAUUUCCUGGCAAGGUUACUCAUAUCACUAGUGAGAGGGGAAGGGGGAGUGUUAUCCUUAGAUAAAAAGAAAUGAUUUUGUCAUUGAACUGUCAUCAUUCUCAAAUCAAAUCGUCUUAUAGAUGUCCCUGCCUAUUGUAGCACCUACUUCUUGGUGCUUUCUUCACAUAAAGGUUCUUGGCUUUUCAAACAAAAUAAUCAGACAACAAGCACUGACAGACAAAACACAACUCCCUCAAGUUAAUGUAGACACCAUCUAUUUCUUCAUCCUCCUCCGUGGUCAGUGUAGAUGGAGAAAUCGGUCGAUACUAAGUCUGGGAAGCAAGAAGACGUCAAAUCAUUACUGAACUCAAAUGAUUUCCCUGGCUCCCCGGCAAAUGCUCAAACAUGAAUUGCAUUUGCUCAUCCGAUACUGUAAUUUUGGAAUAGCUCAUGUGAGAGGUCACUUUUGGAGACUGGAGAGAUUCUUGGCUCCACUUCAUGUGCUUUAUGAGCAGCCUCUUCAAUUUUCUCACAAAUUUUUCUCUGGAAUUUGACAACAAAUCUAUGAGCUGGGUUUUCAGCCUAUAUGGGUUGGGUAUGACAUGAGAAUCCUCAGGAAUGUGUUCUUAGUCAAUCUGCUAUGAAGCACAGUAUCUUAUAUUUUCCUCAGACUCACUAUAGUGUAACUCAUCAACAAUAGUACUGUGUAAUAAAUAGGGUUGCAAAUCCCAGUUGGAAAACUUUUGAAAUCCGCUUGAAAUAAGCCGAAAAUCCGGCGAAUCACUGUUAGUCUGCACCUGUUGUCUACGAAGCAUGUGUCAAAUACAAACAUUUUAUUUGAUGCUCAAUAUGUAGUCUGUCCACGAGAGAUUAGCGCACCUCUAAUAUCAUCAUCUAUCCCGAUGAGCAUGGUAUCUCUCUCUUUAGCCAGUACACAGCAUUGAAUUGAAUUGACACCCAAUAACUGAUUCCAAUCACUACCAAUGUCUGUUUGACAGGUUUCACAUUAAUGUUCUAUGUACACAUUUAUAGACCACCGAUUAUUAAAAAACAUGAGCGAUUUAGACAACACAUUCAAGGAACAUUCAAGGUAUAUGAGGAUUUAGGGAUUGUUUCAUAUCCUUCAUUGAGCAUAUAAUGUCAUCCAGGACAGACUGAAGGAUUCAUUCUGACACAGUGCAGAGGACUGAGCAGGAGAGCAAACCAGGACAGGGAUCGUUGUCGGAUCAAUAUUGUGGGAACAGACCUGGGAAAAUACAAUCCAUGACAUUAAAAGCUUAACCAUGA